Molecule: ribosomal RNA, 460 nt
Filed under: uncultured bacterium
Lineage: Bacteria
Description: partial 16S ribosomal RNA
Rfam family: Bacterial small subunit ribosomal RNA
Source: RNAcentral
CCUACGUGAGGCAGCAGUGAGGAAUCUUGGUCAAUGGACGAGAGUCUGAACCAGCCAAGUAGCGUGAAGGAUGACUGCCCUCUGGGUUGUAAACUUCUUUUAUAUGGGAAUAAAAUGUUCCACGUGUGGGAUUUUGUAUGUACCAUAUGAAUAAGGAUCUGCUAACUCCGUGCCAGCAGCCGCGGUAAUCCUGAGGAUCCGAGCGUUAUCCGGAUUUAUUGGGGUUAAAGGGCGCGUAGGUGGAUUGUUAAGUCAGUUGUGAAAGUUUGCGGAUCAACCGUAAAAUUGUAGUUGAAACUGGCAGUCGUGAGUACAGGAGAGGUGGGCGGAAUGCGGGGUGUAGCGGUGAAAUGCGUAGAUAUCACGAAGAACUCCGAUUGCGAAGGCAGGUCACUGGACUGCAACUGACACUGAGGCUCGAAAGUGUGGGGAUCAAACAGGAUUAGAUACCCCAGUAGUC